Long non-coding RNA from Homo sapiens (human), 1889 nucleotides. The record is from Ensembl. Lineage: Eukaryota; Metazoa; Chordata; Mammalia; Primates; Hominidae.
UUUUUUUUUUUUUUUUUUUUUUUUUCAGUCUAUUCCCCCUGUCUGGAAGGCCCUUCAUCCUACUCUCUUGGCCUCUUCUAAUUUUUUUCAGUGGAGUCCAAAGUACUCAUAAACACAUUCAUUAAAAAUGUAAGAAGCCAAAGGGCAAAAAAAAAAUUUUUUUUAAUCAGGGAUGAGGAGGGAAGCUAAGAAUUUUAAAAUAGUAAAUGAAAAAUUUAGAAAUAUGUAUUUUGUAGAAAAUAGUAGACUUAGCACUAAGAUGAAAUGUUUUUGGUAAAGUUUUUAAUUUGGGAGUUUUGCUGAUUCCUUCUUACCCUUCAGGACAAUUCACAGAUAUCAAUCCUUUCUGGAGUUACCCCUGACUCCCUCAACACCCCAAAACUCUAAAUGCCACGGUCAUCUGUUUCUAUAUCAACCUUUUAACAUAUUUAUGGCCAGGCGUGGUGGCUCAUGCCUGUAAUCCUAGCACUUUGGGAGGCCAAGGCAGGUGGAUCGCUUGAAGCCAGAAGUUCAGACCAGCCUGGCCAACAUGGCGAAACCCCUUCUCUACUAAAAAUACAAAACAUUAGCAGGACAUGGUGGCAGAUGCCUGUAAUCCCAGCUACUCAGGAGGCUGAGGCAUGAGAAUAGCUUGAGCCCAGGAGGUGGAGGUUGCAGUGAGGUGAGAUCAAACCACUGCAUUCCAGCCAGGCCAACAGACAGAGCAAGACUCUGUCUUAAAAAAAAAAAAAAAAGACACUAAAACCUUUCAACGUAUUUACCACAUUUCAGUAUAAUAAUCUAUUUAACCAUUUAGCCUUUCCAUUAUAGACUACAAGACCAAAGGUGUGGCAUUGUAUUAUAUUCAUCUUUUUAUCCCUAAGUUUCUGGCACAAUGACUGUACAUGGAAGGCCUUUAAAUUAUUACCUGUAGUAAAGUGUCUCUCUUCCUCACUUUCAAUUACAGCAUUGUCAAAAUAACCUUAGUUAGCAUCAUAUAUUCCUUCCCUGCUCUCUCCAGCGGCACCCCAAUGCCUACCAGAAAUAAGCUAAACUGCUUAGUUUAGUAUUAAUAAGAAUCUCCAUAAUCUGAUCUCAACCUUCUUUUCUAGCCUUAUUUCCUAGCAUACCCUCAACUUGUGGUCUACACUCUUGCUCAACAGUCCUGCUCUAUAUGAUGCACUAAUCUUCCCCUUUCUUAUUUUACCCUUAAUCAUCUUAUUUCUACCUGUUGAAAUUGUAUUGCGCAUUCCUUCCAGGACUGGCUAAACACCAUCACCUUCAGGAAGCCUAUCUUGACCAUUUAACUAUCAGGGAUCACUUUUUUCCAGUUUUGAGUAUUCUGGACAUUUCUGUACCAAGUCUUACUUAUCCUCAUAUAACCUGCAGCACUCACCAUGACUGUUUGCAAUACCACAGAGAAAAUAGGGGAAAAUAACGCACUCUACAAGAACACAUUUGGUCACAAAAUUAUUUUUAUCUCUAAAUACAUUCACUAUUUGUUACUGAAAAAUACCAGAGGAAAGAAUGGUAAAAGGCUGAUGUUAGUCAUUGUAUAAUACAAAUGCAAAGUAACUGAAACUGUCAGAAAUAUACAAGAAAAUGGCAGAUUUUAGCAUCUACCAUAAUGUUCACUGAUUUUUUUCCCCUAGUUUGAAAGGCAUUAGAUAACACACUGUGGGUAAGACACUAUUAACUAGUAUUAGAAUUUGUUCUCCCUCCCUUAAAAGAAAAAAAGUUAACAUAACACUUAAGAUAGUCCCUGAACUAUCAAGCUUACAUUUAGGCUAGGUCUUAUUAUAUAUCCCAGGGAUGUAGAACAAGCUGAAACAUGCUAAAAACAUUGGAACAAAGCACAGAGAAAGGAUGGAGCUUCUGCCAAUAUUUUAGGAAGCCUAAAAAAAAAAAAA